UACGUAGGGUGCGAGCGUUGUCCGGAAUUAUUGGGCGUAAAGGGCUCGUAGGCGGUUUGUCGCGUCGGGAGUGAAAACUCAGGGCUUAACCCUGAGCCUGCUUCCGAUACGGGCAGACUAGAGGUAUGCAGGGGAGAACGGAAUUCCUGGUGUAGCGGUGAAAUGCGCAGAUAUCAGGAGGAACACCGGUGGCGAAGGCGACUACCUGGCCUGUUUCUUGACGCUGAGGCGCGAAAGCUAGGGGAGCAAACGGG
Molecule: ribosomal RNA, 254 nt
Filed under: uncultured bacterium
Lineage: Bacteria
Description: partial 16S ribosomal RNA
Rfam family: Bacterial small subunit ribosomal RNA
Source: RNAcentral